RNAcentral lists this unclassified non-coding RNA (338 nucleotides) under soil metagenome. RNAcentral's name for it is "partial contains 5.8S ribosomal RNA, internal transcribed spacer 2, and large subunit ribosomal RNA". The stretch from base 1 to 120 matches the Rfam family "5.8S ribosomal RNA", at positions 35 to 154 of the family's 154-position model. The record is from RNAcentral.
GAUGAAGAAUGUAGUGAAAUGCGAUAAGUAGUGUGAAUUGCAGAAUUCAGUGAAUCAUCGAAUCUUUGAACGCACAUUGCGCCCUUUGGUAUUCCUUAGGGCAUGCCUGUUCGAGCGUCAUUUGAAACCUCAAGCUCAGCUUGGUGUUGGGUGUCUGUCCCCGCCUCACCGCGGGGACUCGCCUCAAAAUCAUUGGCGGCCGGUACGUUGGCUUCGAGCGCAGCAGAAACGCGAACUCGAGGCCCGGCGGAUCGGCGACCAGAAGUCACUUCUUCACAGUUUGACCUCGGAUCAGGUAGGGAUACCCGCUGAACUUAAGCAUAUCAAUAAGCGGAGGA